Molecule: ribosomal RNA, 253 nt
Filed under: uncultured bacterium
Lineage: Bacteria
Description: partial 16S ribosomal RNA
Rfam family: Bacterial small subunit ribosomal RNA
Source: RNAcentral
UACGUAGGGUGCGAGCGUUGUCCGGAAUUAUUGGGCGUAAAGAGCUCGUAGGCGGCCUGUUGCGUCCGCUGUGAAAGCCCGGGGCUUAACCCCGGGUCGGCAGUGGAUACGGGCAGGCUAGAGGUAGGUAGGGGAGAAUGGAAUUCCCGGUGUAGCGGUGAAAUGCGCAGAUAUCGGGAGGAACACCAGUAGCGAAGGCGGCACUCUGGGCCGUGACUGACGCUGAGGAGCGAAAGCGUGGGUAGCAAACAGG